This 1057-nucleotide long non-coding RNA is filed under the name Mustela putorius furo (domestic ferret). RNAcentral's name for it is "lncRNA (ENSMPUG00000031950.1)". Lineage: Eukaryota; Metazoa; Chordata; Mammalia; Carnivora; Mustelidae. The record is from RNAcentral.
CCAGGAUGAUCCGUUCGCGUGUUUACCCAGACAAGGGGACAAGCCCCCUGUUAUGCGAUCAGACACUCUCCUAGCACUAUUUUGCAGGUGGGACCAAGAAAAAAAAAUUCAGACAAAAAAAGAAAAAGAAAAAGAAAAAAAAAUCCACAAGCCACUAACUUAAACAGUCUACUUCAAGGGUGGUGGGCCUCGUCCAAUCAGGUGACGGUUUCUCAGAGAAGUAAUUCUGCCUCAGGUCUGUACUGUCACCUGCCACCUCGAGGUCACGAACCAGCCCUACAGGUGUCACACAGACCAGCCCCACCAUCGUAUGAACCACUUCCUUCCCAUCAAUCAUAUUCAUGUGUAUUUUUGGCAUGUAUGCGCAUCCAUUUUUCUCCAAAUAUGUGUCUGUCUUUCCCUCGGUGUAUCUGUCCACAUACAUUGUUUCCUCUCUUCUGCAUGUAUCUAAGCGGAUAUACCUGUCUCUGUGUCUACAUGUAUCCAUAUUUCCAGAUACAUCUGCUCUCCCUGUGAGCUUUGUCCUCAUCAGCAAACACAACGCCCCAUGAGCUCUGGUUUUCACAAGACUCUCUCCUUGGCUUCUAAGACUUUCCGCAGGUCCCCGCUGCAUGUGCGCUUGUGGCCCUUCACGGCCACGUUCCCUCCCUGCGUGGGACUUGCUUCUCGUCUCAACAAGACCUGUACUAGACCCUUCCCUGCUUCUUACCUUCAUGUGGUUGGGCGGGCGGGCGGCCUGCGGGGUUUCAUAUUCACGUGUCUCAGAAGUCAAGGUGCAGAGCUGGUCUCGGGAUCCUCGCGAGAAGUCCUCUCCCAUCCCCGCCCAUGCUGCAGACGAAGGCGUCCACGUCCCGAUCCAUGUCUGGUGGACGGAACCAUGUCCCCAAAGAUGUCCAUAUCCCAAUCCCCACAUGGUAGAUGGAACCAUGUCCCAAAGACGUCCACAUCCCGAUCCCCAGAACAAUGUCCCCAAAGAUGUCCACAUUCCGAUCCCCACGUGGUAGACAGAACCAUGUCCCCAAAGACGUCCAUGUCCCAAUGCUCAAGUGGUGGAUGA